GAAAGGUACAGCUUUCAGAUACUUCUGAAGGCAGACAGAACUAAUCUUGUACUUUUUGCAGUCUUUUUUUUAAAGUGACUUGGAGUGUAUCACUGUUUGUAAAGGGUAAGCAAGAUUACACAGUCGCCAAUCGCAUUAAGAGUCUGAUAUUCUUUGGGAAGCAACAUACAAGUCUAAUGGGCCCUGAAUGCUGUAACUGCCUCUCUGAUAAGAUACACAGAAGUCAUUCUGUCAAACUGCAGUUAUAGCAUCACAGCACAACUGAAGAUCCCACAUGAGCUCCAAUGCAUAUUAAGGAGUCUUUUGUGUACCAGGAAUUGCCUGCAUUUCAGAGGGGAGGACAGAUCUGUGCCUCUAUCCUUUUCUAUGGGUGGAGAUACCCAUUCUGCCAUAAUGGUCACUUCUGCAAGUAAGAAACGUCCUGUCAUGUGCACUCGAAGAACUGCAGAAUUGUGGACCAUAAAAAUGGAUCAUUUGAAAGCUGUAUUUAUGCAAAUUAUGGUCUUUAAUCCCAUCUAGAACAGGCCUACGAAUCAAUGGGAGGUAUAAAAACGUUGACUUAACAAAUCCUAUCCAUUCAAUUGUUUGCUUUAAUUUGGAUUGACACGUGGAUUUAAGCCCUAUUUAAUUAAUAUAUAUUUUCCAAAGAGGACAGCAUCCACAGAAUUCAAUGAAUGUUCCAAGAACAAAGUAUAUUUGUAACUGGACACCUCUCCUAUCUAAACCAUUUCUCUGAUUCCUCCAGGAGUCUCACAGUAUGCCAUAGUGAGCCUUCCAAGCCAAAUGAUUCAAUGUCUGUAAUUACAUGAACACUCUUUUUAUGCCAAGACAUUCAGAAGAACAUAGGACGUCAAUAAUACAACUGGACACAGAUGGGAUCGUAUCUGUGAUUGCUAAUAAACAGCAGUUGCUGAAGAACAAAGAACUGAAAGUUCCAAGCUUUUCCUUCUUCCGCCCUUUCCAAAGUUGACCAUUAAUGUUUCAGAUCACUAUUAAUGUUAUCCAAACUGAUCUGGAAUAUUAAUGGCAGCCUACUCAGGACCUUCUAGAAAAGAUUGGAAAAACAAAAUACA
Pogona vitticeps (central bearded dragon) is the source of this 1073-nucleotide long non-coding RNA. RefSeq lists it as uncharacterized. The record is from RefSeq and is a predicted model, not a curated record. Lineage: Eukaryota; Metazoa; Chordata; Lepidosauria; Squamata; Agamidae.